Molecule: ribosomal RNA, 920 nt
Filed under: uncultured archaeon
Lineage: Archaea
Description: bacterial SSU rRNA
Rfam family: Archaeal small subunit ribosomal RNA
Source: RNAcentral
UUCCGGUUGAUCCUGCCGGAAGUUACUGCUAUUCGGAUUCGACUAAGCCAUGCAAGUUUUGGGAUCAUCUUGGUUCCAAAGCGUAAAGCUCAGUAAUAUGUAGUUAAUCUGCCCUUAGGUUCGGGAUAAUCUUGGGAAACUGAGGCUAAUACCGGAUGGGCAAGGGGAUCUGGAAUGCCCCCUUGCUUAAAGCUUCGGCGCCUAAGGAUGAGACUGCAACGGAUUAGCUAGUUGCCAGAGUAAUGUCCUGGCAAGGCUAUAAUCUGUACGGGCCUUGAGAGAGGAAGCCCGGAGAUGGAUUCUGAGACAACAAUCCAGGCCCUACGGGGCGCAGCAGGCGCGAAAAUUUCUCAAUGCGCGCAAGCGUGAAGGAGGAAUCUGAAGUGCUCUGUCUUCUAGACAGUGCUUUUGCCAAGUCCAAACAGCUUGGAGAAUAAGUGGUGGGUAAGACGGGUGCCAGCCGCCGCGGUAAUACCCGCGCCACAAGUGGUAAUCGCGUUUAUUGGGUUUAAAGCGUCCGUAGCCGGUCUGCUAAGUCCCUGGUGAAAGGUCAUAGUCAACUAUGGCGAUGGCCAGGGAUACUGGCAGGCUAGAGACCGGGAGAAGUAUGGGGUAUUCCUGGGGUAGGGGUAAAAUCCUGUAAUCCCAGGAGGACCACCUGUGGCGAAGGCGCCAUACUAGAACGGAUCUGACGGUGAGGGACGAAAGCUAGGGGAGCAAAGCGGAUUAGAUACCCGCGUAGUCCUAGCUGUAAACAAUGUCCACUGGUUGUUGGAGAUCUUACGGGGGUCUCCAAUGUCUUAGGGAAACCGUUAAGUGGACCACCUGGGGAGUACGGUCGCAAGGCUGAAACUUAAUGGAAUUGGCGGGGGAGCACACAAGGGGUGGAUGCUGCGGUUUAAUUGGAUUCAACGCCGGAU